AGGACUUUGGGCACGGCUCCUGUGGUGCUGGUCCGACUCACUGCAGCUAAUUUCCAGAGACUUUCAUCUGCAAACCCUAAUUUUCUCUCUCUUUCCUUCUGAUACCUGCACUUUCUCUCUUCUGGAAACAUGAGUGGCCGGGCCAGUAGGACCCUCUAUGUUGGCAAUUUACCAGGAGACAUUCGUGAAAGAGAAGUUGAAGAUUUAUUCUAUAAGUAUGGUCCAAUUGUUGAUAUUGAAUUGAAGAUUCCCCCCAGGCCCCCUGGCUACUGUUUUAUUGAGUUUGAAGAUGCUCGUGAUGCUGAAGAUGCUAUCCGCGGUCGUGAUGGUUACAACUUUGAUGGCCACCGGCUAAGGGUAGAACUUGCCCAUGGGGGUCGGAACCAUUCUUCAUCUUCAGAUCGCUAUGGUGGUAGCUAUGGUGGUGGGCGUGGACUUUCAAGGCGCUCUGAAUAUAGAGUGCUUGUAACUGGGUUGCCGUCAGCUGCUUCAUGGCAAGACUUGAAAGAUCAUAUGCGUCGGGCUGGUGAUGUUUGCUUUUCUCAAGUGUUUCGUGAUGGCAGUGGCACAACUGGUAUCGUGGACUACACAAACUAUGAUGACAUGAAAUAUGCGAUAAGGAAACUUGAUGACUCUGAGUUCAGAAAUGCAUUUUCUCGGGCUUACAUACGGGUAAAGGAGUACAAGUCAGGGAAGAGCCUAUCCCGUAGCCGCAGUCGUAGUCACUCAGUUUCAAGAAGUAGAAGCAAGAGUCCUGUUCCUAGUCGUAGCCGAAGUCCUAGUAGAAGCAGAAGUCGAAGCAUACCCCCGAAGGCCAAAUCCCUAUCUAGAUCUCGAUCUAGGUCCAUUUCAUCACGUUCUCGUUCACGAUCACCACCACCGCGUGUGAAAGGAAGAUGAGGCAUGCGGCUUGCAAGCAUAUUUAUGGGAUUGCUUGUUUGGAAAUAUAUGGGGAUGGCUGGAAUUGGAUUACUUUUGAUGUGUGCCUGAGGAGCCACUUAGUUGAAAUUGGGUGAGCUUGAAAUAUGGAUUUCUGGGAAAGCUUUUGGACACAUCCAAGUGGAACUGGAAAUCCCAUUGGAACCAAAUUUUUCCAGACCUGGAUCUAAGUCAAAGUCACCAUCUCCCUCUCGUCGGCAUAAGCGAACAAGCAGUAGGAGGAGCCCCAGCAGGAGCCGCAGUAUUUCGCGUUCUCGCUCCCCUGUGGCAAAAUCUGAUCGUAGCCGCUCUCUGGAUUCUCGGGGCCGUUGACUCCUUUGCUUUGCAUGGUUAGGAAUUACAUUUUGCUGUGGACGAAUUGAGAUCCAAGGUGGUUUUGGUUGACUGAAGACACCAUGAAAAACAGAUUAUUGGCUUUUCUUAUUGUUUUCAUGUUAGAAAAUAUUGUGUUCUACGUAGUGGAACCUGGAUUUUGGGCUCAAAUAGUUGCAGUCCUGAACUUCCUAAGAAAAAUUGGUAGCGCCUUAUUUCGGGAAAAGGGAACUUUUUAUUGUGGUUUAUUGU
Amborella trichopoda is the source of this 1503-nucleotide non-coding RNA. The record is from RefSeq and is a predicted model, not a curated record. Lineage: Eukaryota; Viridiplantae; Streptophyta; Magnoliopsida; Amborellales; Amborellaceae.